GAUGAACGCUGGCGGCGUGCCUAAUACAUGCAAGUCGAGCGAACGGACGAGAAGCUUGCUUCUCUGAUGUUAGCGGCGGACGGGUGAGUAACACGUGGAUAACCUACCUAUAAGACUGGGAUAACUUCGGGAAACCGGAGCUAAUACCGGAUAAUAUUUUGAACCGCAUGGUUCAAAAGUGAAAGACGGUCUUGCUGUCACUUAUAGAUGGAUCCGCGCUGCAUUAGCUAGUUGGUAAGGUAACGGCUUACCAAGGCAACGAUGCAUAGCCGACCUGAGAGGGGGAUCGGCCACACUGGAACGGAGACACGGUCCAGACUCCUACGGGAGGCAGCAGUAGGGAAUCUGCCGCAAUGGGCGAAAGCCUGACGGAGCAACGCCGCGUGAGUGAUGAAGGUCUUCGGAUCGUAAAACUCUGUUAUUAGGGAAGAACAUAUGUGUAAGUAACUGUGCACAUCUUGACGGUACCUAAUCAGAAAGCCACGGCUAACUACGUG
Molecule: ribosomal RNA, 497 nt
Filed under: uncultured bacterium
Lineage: Bacteria
Description: partial 16S ribosomal RNA
Rfam family: Bacterial small subunit ribosomal RNA
Source: RNAcentral